AGAGUUUGAUCAUGGCUCAGAGCGAACGCUGGCGGCAGGCCUAACACAUGCAAGUCGAACGAACUCUUCGGAGUUAGUGGCGGACGGGUGAGUAACACGUGGGAACGUGCCUUUAGGUUCGGAAUAACUCAGGGAAACUUGUGCUAAUACCGAAUGUGCCCUUCGGGGGAAAGAUUUAUCGCCUUUAGAGCGGCCCGCGUCUGAUUAGCUAGUUGGUGAGGUAAAGGCUCACCAAGGCGACGAUCAGUAGCUGGUCUGAGAGGAUGAUCAGCCACAUUGGGACUGAGACACGGCCCAAACUCCUACGGGAGGCAGCAGUGGGGAAUCUUGCGCAAUGGGCGAAAGCCUGACGCAGCCAUGCCGCGUGAAUGAUGAAGGUCUUAGGAUUGUAAAAUUCUUUCAGUAGGGACGAUAAUGACGGUACCUACAGAAGAAGCCCCGGCUAACUUCGUGCCAGCAGCCGCGGUAAUAC
This 472-nucleotide ribosomal RNA is filed under the name Brevundimonas mediterranea. RNAcentral's name for it is "bacterial SSU rRNA". It matches the Rfam family "Bacterial small subunit ribosomal RNA", at positions 8 to 526 of the family's 1533-position model. Lineage: Bacteria; Pseudomonadati; Pseudomonadota; Alphaproteobacteria; Caulobacterales; Caulobacteraceae. The record is from RNAcentral.